UUAAAAUAUUUAAAUUUCAGGUGUUGAAAAAUCACUGUGAAAAGUGUUAAAAAGACUAAAAGCAAAGUGGGUUUAUAAAACAAAGUCCCACAAAUCAGAUUGUAUCAUAAUUUUUAUGCACAGUGGUUAUCAUUUACCCCUCUAUAGCAAACCAUUUUGAUUAUUUAGCAUAUUAAUUCAUUAAUAUGCUAAAUAAUCACAUCUAAUUUGGUAAUAUCUUCUCAUAAUUGAUAAGUUCAGGUUGUCUUUUAAGCAACUAUGGAGUAUCAAAAUAAUUCCAAGGUAAAAUAUAGUACUUUGAGUUUAGUGUCUUACAUACUAUAUUUUUCCCCCCUUCAUUUCCAGGACUCCACUAUUGUUACUCCAAUUAUUCUGAGGACUGAUCCACAAGGAUUUUUCUUUUAUUGGACAGAUCAAAAUAAGGAUUGGUGCAUAUUCAAAUACUCACCAGGUACAUUCAAGGAGUUUUCAUCAAUGCAGAGUGUGGAUGUGCUCAUGGUGAUUAUGAAGCUGAAGGAUGUGCUGCAGACAUUUGGAAAGUUGGCAAAUGGAUAGGUUUAAAAUGCUAUCUCAAGGUUGUUUUAAACUGGAAAUUGCAGGGAUGCCCAUCAAUUGAGGAAUGGCUGGACAAUUGUGGUAUAUGAUUGUGAUGGAAUACUACUGUGUAUAAGAAAUGAUGAACUCAAUGAUCUUAGAAAAAACAUGGAAAGACUUGCAUGAAAUAAUGAAGAGUGAAAUGAGCUGAACCAAGAGAACACUGUAUAUAGUAACAGCAAUAUUGUUUUAAGAAUGACUUUGAGCAAGUAAGUCAUUUUGUCUGUUAGAAAUACCCAAAUUAACUAUAAAGGACGUAUGAAGAAAGACACUAUCUACAUCCAGCGAAAGAAUUGAUGAACAGAAGUAUGCAUAGAAUAAUUUUACAUAUGUAUGUAUGUGUAUGUAUAGCCAUCUCUGGGGUAGAGGGGAAGGAAGAAAAAAAUAAAUUUACGUGAUUACUUUAUUAUAUAUUUAAA
This 1013-nucleotide long non-coding RNA is filed under the name Phascolarctos cinereus (koala). RNAcentral describes it as "lncRNA (ENSPCIG00000033673.1)". The record is from RNAcentral. Lineage: Eukaryota; Metazoa; Chordata; Mammalia; Diprotodontia; Phascolarctidae.